This 497-nucleotide ribosomal RNA is filed under the name uncultured bacterium. RNAcentral's name for it is "partial 16S ribosomal RNA". It matches the Rfam family "Bacterial small subunit ribosomal RNA", at positions 28 to 507 of the family's 1533-position model. The record is from RNAcentral.
GAUGAACGCUGGCGGCGUGCCUAAUACAUGCAAGUCGAGCGAACAGACGAGGAGCUUGCUCCUCUGACGUUAGCGGCGGACGGGUGAGUAACACGUGGAUAACCUACCUAUAAGACUGGGAUAACUUCGGGAAACCGGAGCUAAUACCGGAUAAUAUAUUUAACCGCAUGGUUCAAUAUUGAAAGACGGUUUUGCUGUCACUUAUAGAUGGAUCCGCGCCGCAUUAGCUAGUUGGUAAGGUAACGGCUUACCAAGGCAACGAUGCGUAGCCGACCUGAGAGUGUGAUCGGCCACACUGGAACUGAGACACGGACCAGACUCCUACGGGAGGCAGCAGUAGGGAAUCUUCCGCAAUGGGCGAAAGCCUGACGGAGCAACGCCGCGUGAGUGAUGAAGGUCUUCGGAUCGUAAAACUCUGUUAUUAGGGAAGAACAAAUGUGUAAGUAACUAUGCACGUCUUGACGGUACCUAAUCAGAAAGCCACGGCUAACUACGUG